AACGAACGCUGGCGGCAUGCCUAACACAUGCAAGUCGAACGAGACCUUCGGGUCUAGUGGCGCACGGGUCCGUAACGCGUGGGAACCUGCCCUUAGGUUCGGCAUAACUCCCCGAAAGGGGUGCUAAUACCGGAUCAUGUCUUCCGACCAAAGUUUUAUCGACUUUGGAUGGGCCGGCGUGGGAUUAGCUGGUUAUUAGGGUAAAAGCCUAUCAAGGCGACGAUCCAUAGCUGGUCUGAGAGGCAGAGCCGCGACACUGGGACUGAGAAACGGCCGGGACUCUUAGGGGAGGCACGAGAGGGGGAUACUGGCAAGCGGCGUAAGGCAUGAACCACUUCUGACGGGUAAGUGAUGAAGGCUGGGGGGUAGUAAAGUACGUUUACCCGGGAUUGUAAUGACGGUACCGGGAGAAUAAGCUCCGGCUAACUCCGUG
RNAcentral lists this ribosomal RNA (433 nucleotides) under uncultured bacterium. RNAcentral's name for it is "partial 16S ribosomal RNA". It matches the Rfam family "Bacterial small subunit ribosomal RNA", at positions 29 to 507 of the family's 1533-position model. The record is from RNAcentral.